RNAcentral lists this ribosomal RNA (1444 nucleotides) under metagenome. RNAcentral describes it as "bacterial SSU rRNA". It matches the Rfam family "Bacterial small subunit ribosomal RNA". The record is from RNAcentral.
AGAGUUUGAUCCUGGCUCAGGAUGAACGCUGGCGGCGUGCCUAAUACAUGCAAGUCGAACGAGAUACUCUUGAUCUUCGGAGAUAGAGUUGGCAGUGGCGAACGGGUGAGUAACGCGUUGGUGACCUGCCCCAAAGCAGGGGAUAACAGUUUGAAAGAACUGCUAAUACCCUAUGUGAUCAUAGAGGUUAGAGUCUCUAUGAUUAAAGCUCCGGCGCUUUGGGAGGGGCCUGCGUCCCAUCAGCUUGUUGGUAAGGUAACGGCUUACCAAGGCUAUUACGGGUAGGGGACCUGAGAGGGUGGUCCCCCACAAUGGAACUGAAACACGGUCCAUACACCUACGGGUGGCAGCAGUAGGGAAUAUUGCACAAUGGACGAAAGUCUGAUGCAGCAACGCCGCGUGUGCGAUGAAGGCCUUCGGGUCGUAAAGCACUUUUACGAAGGAAGAGGAAGGACGGUACUUCGUGAAUAAGGAUCGGCUAACUACGUGCCAGCAGCCGCGGUAACACGUAGGAUCCAAGCGUUAUCCGGAUUUAUUGGGCGUAAAGCGCGUGUAGGCUGCGUGGUAAGUUGGGUGUUAAAGCUCCAGGCUUAACCUGGAGAGGUCGCUCAAUACUGCCAUGCUAGAGGACGGUAGAGGGAGGUGGAAUUCCGAGUGUAGCGGUGGAAUGCGUAGAUAUUCGGAGGAACACCAGUGGCGAAAGCGGCCUCCUGGACCGUUUCUGACGCUCAGACGCGAAAGCUAGGGGAGCAAACAGGCUUAGAUACCCUGGUAGUCCUAGCUGUAAACGAUGCAAACUUGGUGUUGGUGGUGUAAAAUCUAUCAGUGCCGCAGCUAACGCGAUAAGUUUGCCGCCUGAAGACUACGGCCGCAAGGCUAAAACUCAAAGGAAUUGACGGGUCCCCGCACAAGCAGCGGAGCGUGUGGUUUAAUUCGAUCUACGCGAAGAACCUUACCUGGGUUUGACAUACAAGUGGUAGUGAAGUGAAAGCGGAACGACCCUUCGGGGAGCUUGUACAGGUGGUGCAUGGCUGUCGUCAGCUCGUGUCGUGAGAUGUUCGGUUAAGUCCGGUAACGAGCGCAACCCUCACUGUAUGUUACAAGUGUCAUACGGGACUGCCGGUAUUAAACCGGAGGAAGGCGAGGAUGAUGUCAAGUCAGCAUGUCCUUUAUACCCAGGGCUACACACACGCUACAAUGGGCAGUACAAUAGGUUGCAAUACCGCGAGGUGGAGCCAAUCCUAAAAGCUGUCCCCAGUUCAGAUUGCAGGCUGCAACUCGCCUACAUGAAGUCGGAGUUGCUAGUAACCGCGCGUCAGCAUUAGUGCGGUGAAUACGUUUCCGGGGAUUGUACACACCGCCCGUCACGUCAUGGGAGCUGCUAACACCUGAAGUCGGUAUCCUAACCUCACGGAGGGAGCCGCCGAAGGUGGGAGUGGUGACU